Nomascus leucogenys (northern white-cheeked gibbon) is the source of this 148-nucleotide non-coding RNA. It matches the Rfam family "Metazoan signal recognition particle RNA". Rfam says of the family: The signal recognition particle (SRP) is a universally conserved ribonucleoprotein. It is involved in the co-translational targeting of proteins to membranes. NCBI's taxonomy places the organism in Eukaryota, Metazoa, Chordata, Mammalia, Primates, Hylobatidae. The record is from Rfam.
GCUGGGCGUGGUGGCCUGCGCCUGUAGUCCCAGCUACUGGGGAGGCUGAGGCAGGAGAAUUGCUUGAACCUGGGAGGCAGAGGUUGCAGUGAGCCGAGAUCACGUCACUGCACUCCAGCCUGGGUGACAGAGUGAGAUUCUGUCUCAA